UACGAAGGGGGCUAGCGUUGCUCGGAUUUACUGGGCGUAAAGGGCGCGUAGGCGGCGUGACAAGUCACUUGUGAAAUCUCCGGGCUUAACCCGGAGCGGCCAAGUGAUACUGUCGUGCUAGAGUGCGGAAGGGGCUACUGGAAUUCUCGGUGUAGCGGUGAAAUGCGUAGAUAUCGAGAGGAACACCUGCGGCGAAGGCGGGUAGCUGGGCCGACACUGACGCUGAGGCGCGAAAGCCAGGGGAGCGAACGGG
This 253-nucleotide ribosomal RNA is filed under the name uncultured bacterium. Its description in RNAcentral is "partial 16S ribosomal RNA". It matches the Rfam family "Bacterial small subunit ribosomal RNA", at positions 524 to 776 of the family's 1533-position model. The record is from RNAcentral.